GGACUGGCGUGGUGUGGAUUGCUUGUGGAUUAUCAAGGCCAGUCGCUUGAAAAUGCAUAUAAAUAGUGUGCCAAAUAAAAACGAAAACUUGUGGUAUUGAAAUGCAAAAAUGGACUCUGGCGUGCAUAUGAUACGCAUGUGUUUGGCGUGCAUAUAAUACGCAGUUUUUUCAUGCAUAUAAUCAGAAAUUUGUUGGCGUGUAUAUGAUGUGCAGGUUUCACGUUCAUAUGAUACGCACAAACCUAAACCUACCCAUCGUGUUGUAUAUGCACGCCAGAGUCCAUUUCUGCGUAUCAAUACCACAAGUUUUUGUUUUUAUUUGGCAUACUAUUUAUACGCAUUUUCAUGAGAGUGGCCUCCUCAUUUUGAUGGCACCCAUUCACUGCAGAGCAUCCACUGAUCGUUGUUUGAGGUCCUCCGUGCUUCGUGUCUGUCUUCCACCUGUUCUACUUCGUCGUGUUCUUUUUCCAGUUCGGUCAGCCUUUCAUUACCAGUCAUCGUCAUGGAUUAUCACCACCACCACCUCCACCAGCGCACUCAAACACCUACUCAUCUGUCUGUGCUGCCGUCGAGGUCCCUACGUCACCCACCAUCAUCUCCUUAUCAUUACUCAACCUAAAUAAAUAUCCAUUACUCGCAUUUGCCUCCUGUCCUUACUCGCAGCCGUUACAGAAUGAUCUGACCAACUAUGGAGGCAGCGAGUAACCCAUCAUCUGCCUUGGAGGAAUUGCACAGCACCAUUGCUCGGAGGAUGGACUCCCAGGAGAGGAAUCUUAACGCGCGGUUCAGGCUUUGGUGGCGCAGGUGUCCGAGCUCACCCAACAAUUACAGCUUCUACAAGUUCCCACUGCGCCGCUCAUACCGCCCGUUCCUCCCACACCACCGGAAACCCCCUCCCAGCCGGAACCAUGUCUCCCCAUUCACCCUACUCGGGUGAGCCUAACUUUUGUAGAGCUUUCUUAACCCGAUGCGAUAUGCAUUUCUCUCUCCAACCUAGAACCUUCUCCAAUGAACGAGCCAAGGUAGCUUUUGUUCUGACCCUGCUCACUGGGAGGGCAGCAUUAUGGGGAACGGCGGUGUGGGAAAAUCAAGAUUCAUGCUGCGCCUCCUUCCAUACACUCUCCGCCGAGAUGAGGCGGGUCUUUGAUCGGGCCGUCGCCGGGAGGGAGGGGCGAGGAUGCUAGCCAGAAUUAUGUCAGGGUGAAAGAUCCAUCUCAGACUAUUCCAUCGAGUUCCAUACUCUGGCGGUGGAGUUUCAUUGGAACGAGGAGGCGCAGUGGGACAUGUUCCUGCAUGGGCUGGCUGACCGCAUCCAGAAGGAAAUCUACACCCUGGACCUUCUCACUUCACUCAAUGGGCUCAUCGAACUGGCGCUGAGGGUAGAUGCACGUCUGACGCGAGUGGAGCGACGGAACCUACCCAGCUCCACACCUAAGGCCCAAUCAGACGUGCGAGUCAGCGGCGGGGACACGGCCAGCCCCUCCUAUGAUCACGAGCCCAUGCAGGUAGGGCGAGCUCGGCUUUCCCGGGAGGAGAAGGAGAGGCGGAGGUCCCUGGUCCUGUGCCUCUAGUGCGGGGGGACCGGUCAUCAUGCCUACAUCUGUUGGGUAAAAGGGCCAAGCCCGGUAGUAAGUAUGAGGCUACUAUCGGGUGGGAUCUCCGCCGAGAAGACCUCAUCAUCAUCUAUGCUCCUCCCGCUAAGACUAAGAUGGCCAGCACAGAUUCACAACUGUCAAGCACUACUGGACUCUUCAUGGAAAUUUCAUGGACAAAACACUAGCACAUAGACUUCACAUUCCCCUCCGACCCCUCAUGCACCACAUCACGGUUCACGCUCUAAAUGGACAGAGACUACCGGUCAUCUCUCACAUCACUGAAGACAUCGCCCUCAUCUCAUCAGGCAACCACUCGGAAACCAUCUCCUUCUACAUCCUCGACUCUCCUCUUGCCACCCCAACUUAAACUAGUCCUCGGUCACCCCUGGCUCCUCUUACACAACCCCAAGAUAGACUGGCAAUUAAAUUCCAUCCUGACCUGGAGUAACAAAUGUCAUGAGUCUUGUCUAGUG
RNAcentral lists this long non-coding RNA (2068 nucleotides) under Carassius auratus (goldfish). RNAcentral's name for it is "lncRNA (ENSCARG00000060946.1)". Lineage: Eukaryota; Metazoa; Chordata; Actinopteri; Cypriniformes; Cyprinidae. The record is from RNAcentral.